Molecule: ribosomal RNA, 519 nt
Filed under: Lethocerus sp. MBH-2004
Lineage: Eukaryota; Metazoa; Arthropoda; Insecta; Hemiptera; Belostomatidae
Description: eukaryotic LSU rRNA
Rfam family: Eukaryotic large subunit ribosomal RNA
Source: RNAcentral
GGAGUCUAACAUGUGCGCGAGUCAUUGGGUUUCGAAAACCUAAAGGCGCAAUCAAAGUGAAAGGUGACUCUUUCGCUUACCCGAGGGAGGAUGGGCGCGUCUGUCGUCCGCCGGCGGUGCCCCGCACUCCCGGGGCGUUUCUCACUCAUCGCGAGUCGAGGCGCACCCAGAGCGUACACGUUAGGACCCGAAAGAUGGUGAACUAUGCCCGGCCAGGACGAAGCCAGGGGAAACCCUGGUGGAGGUCCGUAGCGAUUCUGACGUGCAAAUCGAUCGUCGGAGCUGGGUAUAGGGGCGAAAGACUAAUCGAACCAUCUAGUAGCUGGUUCCUUCCGAAGUUUCCCUCAGGAUAGCUGGUGCCCGGGUGAGACGAGUCUCAUCCUGUAAAGCGAAUGAUUAGAGGCAUUGGGGGUCGAAACGACCUCAACCUAUUCUCAAACUUUAAAUAGAUGAGAACUCCGGCUUGCUUGAACGGUGAAGCCGGAGAUUCGGAUCAAGGUGCCCAGUGGGCCAAUUUUG